UUUUUUCUCUAAGCUUCAUGAUCCACAUGAUUUCACUUUCCCUCCUAUUAAUGAAGUCUCUCCACCAAAGCACCCUCUUCCUCCGGCCGUGCCAGUAUAUGAGAAAGCUCCUCCAGUAAAGAAGCCAUUCCCACCUCCUUCUCCCAUUUCCAAGCCCCUUCCACCACCUCCUCGUCCUAUUAAACCACCAGUUUUUAAACCAUUUGUUCAUCCUUUCCAUAAGCUGCAUCCAUUUCCACCACUUCCUAAGAUCCCUGGAAAGCAUUUCCAUCAACUACCAUCCUUUUCUCCUCAUGCAUAGGUAUUAUUAUUAUCAUGGCACAACUACAAAUGUAGCACUUUGUGUAACAAUGUUACGGCCAUGUUUUCUUUUCUUCUAAAUAAAAGCCUUUAUUUGAAUAGUGAACGUAUUUGAAUGAGCUUGAAUAAAGUAUGUACUAUGGACUAAUGCUUAUGAGUAGUGAAGAUGACGGAG
Molecule: long non-coding RNA, 475 nt
Filed under: Lupinus mutabilis
Lineage: Eukaryota; Viridiplantae; Streptophyta; Magnoliopsida; Fabales; Fabaceae
Description: partial ncRNA
Source: RNAcentral